AUAUUAACACCUAUUUUUUCACUUCGGAUUUAUAAAAUUUUUUUUACAUAAAUUAAAUGAUAACGAAAUAAAUAUUAACAGAAAAAUUAAAAUAAAAAAAAUUCUAAAAUGCCUUAUGAAAUAAACAAAAUUGGAAAAUUAUUAUCAAUUACCCGAUUUGAUUUUUUUUUUCCAGAUAUUUCUCUACUCAUGGAUGGUUACCAGCACUGGCCGCCAAGCUCUCCUCAGUAACCUAUACCUAAACGUACCCGUUACUGGUCUCAGCGAGCCACCUCCACCGCGCCGAGCAGCCAAACCUCCACCUCCAAAACUUCCAGCGCUACCACCACCACUGCCAUCAUCACUAUCGGUAACGGUUAACAAUUCUACUUCACCAUCAGCACCAUCCGGAUUAUCCUUCUCUUUAUCUUCAAAAGGUGGCGAUGAAACGAACAAGUCCUUCAAUUUCCUCCUAACUUUCUUCUUUUCCGGCGGAUCUUUCUGGAGCUCGGGCUGGUCAUCACGGCGGGGAAGCCGGCGGCGGUGAUGGUCAGCGGAGCGAGAGAGAAGCAUGCGGAGUGUCUUGCGGCGGCGGAGGUGGAUUACAGGGCUGUUAGUGGGACUUUGCGUAGGGCUUCCGGCUACUGCGCAUUGAGUGGUUAGAAGCUUGAAUUUGUGAAGGGAGGCCAUUGAAUCCGUCGAUUGCUGGGUACCAAUUGAAAAUCUGAUUAGCAGAGGAAGUGAGAUCUGAGAGAGAUUAAUGUAUUUGCCAUUUGAUUUUAAAUUCCUAAUUGAAAUUUUAUUGGAAAAAUAACAAAAACCAGUGAUGGGAAUAAGAAUAAGAGCGGGUUUGGAAUAUAUGAGGAUGGGUCUCUGUGUGGGUUGCUUUGUGUCUUCUCGGAUGCGUCUUUGGAAUUGUAAGUUCUUA
This 907-nucleotide unclassified non-coding RNA is filed under the name Hevea brasiliensis (rubber tree). Lineage: Eukaryota; Viridiplantae; Streptophyta; Magnoliopsida; Malpighiales; Euphorbiaceae. The record is from RNAcentral.